UCCCCCACCGGUGAGACACGUGGAAAUAGGGGUGUGACAACUUGAUCGCAGCAGUUUUAGCAUAUCUAACCACACCGUGCUCCCUAUUGGUCAAGAUGUGAAUUUACAACUGUUGAAAGCUAUCGAGGAAUCUGAGAUAAUUUGGCAGGGACGAGAGAAAAUUCAUAUUGGAAUUUGGUGAACAACUUGAGAAGAUGCAACGACCACAAGAUGCACCUUGGAAUUUGGCAUCCGCAGCAUCUAAACACUACGCCGGCCCGAUGGGCUUUUCACCGGUUUUACGGUCUGGCCAGCCAGUCCGGUCCGACCUUCAAAACAUUGAUUUUGUGUAUAAUGGGUCAUGUUAAGUUGAUAACUGUUUUAUGCACACCAGGUGUUUAAUGAAAUUCUUGAACCAAAACCCACCAUUUUGAUAUUGAUCAUGUUAAGUUGAUAGUUCUUUUAUGUGCACCAGGUGUUUGAUGAAAUGCUUGUACCAAAACUCACCAUUUUGUGUUUAAAUGGUAUGUAUAGUUUGAUAUUAUUGGUCAUGUUAAGUUGAUAGUUUUUUAUGCA
Helianthus annuus (common sunflower) is the source of this 555-nucleotide long non-coding RNA. RefSeq lists it as uncharacterized. The transcript is spliced from 2 exons. Lineage: Eukaryota; Viridiplantae; Streptophyta; Magnoliopsida; Asterales; Asteraceae. The record is from RefSeq and is a predicted model, not a curated record.